Long non-coding RNA from Centruroides sculpturatus (bark scorpion), 262 nucleotides. RefSeq lists it as uncharacterized. Lineage: Eukaryota; Metazoa; Arthropoda; Arachnida; Scorpiones; Buthidae. The record is from RefSeq and is a predicted model, not a curated record. The transcript is spliced from 2 exons.
UCGGAACCGAACGCACUCUAAAUUUGAUUUAUUUUCUAUUUUAUUUUAGAAAAUACCGUCAUUAAAUAGAAUUCAAAUUUUAAAAGAUGCCAUGUUCUUUGCCGACAAAGGAGAUAUUCCUCAUACCUUGGCGCUCGAUAUCUUCUCUUAUUUUCCUUACGAAAAGGAUGUUCUGGUAUUAAAUGUAGUGGGUUUUACAGAAAUCGGAUACUUUCUGAGAAAUUAUGAAAUGGCUGUUUUUCAAACCAACGUACAAGAAAAA